AGCUUUGCGCAGUGGCAGUAUCAUAGCCAAUGAAAUUUAUCCGAGGCAUGAUUAUUGCUAAUUGAAAGUUCACCUGUUUAAACGUGCACAAUUCAAUGGUUUUUAUUUAGUAUAUUCAUAGUUGUGCAACUAUCACCACCAACUAACUUCAGAACAUUUUCAUCAUUCCCAAAAGAA
This 177-nucleotide small nuclear RNA is filed under the name Canis lupus familiaris (dog). Its description in RNAcentral is "U4 spliceosomal RNA (multiple genes)". The stretch from base 1 to 131 matches the Rfam family "U4 spliceosomal RNA". Rfam says of the family: U4 small nuclear RNA (U4 snRNA) is a component of the major U2-dependent spliceosome. The structure of U4 snRNA from yeast and human has been reported. Lineage: Eukaryota; Metazoa; Chordata; Mammalia; Carnivora; Canidae. The record is from RNAcentral.